UGGGGAAUUUUGCGCAAUGGGGGAAACCCUGACGCAGCAACGCCGCGUGAGUGAUGAAGGCCUUCGGGUCGUAAAGCUCUGUCAGAGGGAAAGAAGUGCGAGAGGGUUAAUACCCCUUUUGCUUGACGGUACCCUCAAAGGAAGCACCGGCUAACUCCGUGCCAGCAGCCGCGGUAAUACGGAGGGUGCGAGCGUUGUUCGGAAUUAUUGGGCGUAAAGCGCGUGUAGGCGGUCUUUUAAGUCUGAUGUGAAAGCCCCGGGCUCAACCUGGGAAGUGCAUUGGAAACUGGGAGACUUGAAUACGGGAGAGGGUAGUGGAAUUCCUAGUGUAGGAGUGAAAUCCGUAGAUAUUAGGAGGAACACCGGUGGCGAAGGCGGCUACCUGGACCGAUAUUGACGCUGAGACGCGAAAGCGUGGGGAGCAAACA
Molecule: ribosomal RNA, 428 nt
Filed under: uncultured prokaryote
Description: bacterial SSU rRNA
Rfam family: Bacterial small subunit ribosomal RNA
Source: RNAcentral